AUGAAAAAUGUGUGUCUAUGUCUAAUGACUGAAUCAUUUGAAAUAUCUCUGUAUCUUUCUCUCUCUUUCUCUCUCUUAAUCCAUCUUCCACUGUGGAUGGAGUCUAGAGAUCAUAAUUGGCACAAUACUUCCUACAACAUUCUACUAAGUCCUCUUUAUCAAGACUUUAUUUCAAACUAUGUCAGAUUGGGUGGCAAGAUAGGAAAUAGUUUCUGUCCCCCAGUUCUUCAAUGUUGUGGAACAUAUGGAAUCCACUGACUUCAGGAAAUAUUUUCAGAGCACACACAUAUUUCUUCAAGACGUUAACAUCCCAUGGGAGGAGGAGGAAUAAAAACAUGACAGGGAGUAAUUUAAAAUGGCA
This 361-nucleotide long non-coding RNA is filed under the name Oryctolagus cuniculus (rabbit). RNAcentral's name for it is "lncRNA (ENSOCUG00000035345.1)". The record is from RNAcentral. Lineage: Eukaryota; Metazoa; Chordata; Mammalia; Lagomorpha; Leporidae.